This 636-nucleotide ribosomal RNA is filed under the name uncultured Marinobacter sp. RNAcentral's name for it is "bacterial SSU rRNA". It matches the Rfam family "Bacterial small subunit ribosomal RNA", at positions 870 to 1504 of the family's 1533-position model. Lineage: Bacteria; Pseudomonadati; Pseudomonadota; Gammaproteobacteria; Pseudomonadales; Marinobacteraceae. The record is from RNAcentral.
CGCCUGGGGAGUACGGCCGCAAGGUUAAAACUCAAAUGAAUUGACGGGGGCCCGCACAAGCGGUGGAGCAUGUGGUUUAAUUCGACGCAACGCGAAGAACCUUACCUGGCCUUGACAUCCAGAGAGCUUUCCAGAGAUGGAUUGGUGCCUUCGGGAACUCUGAGACAGGUGCUGCAUGGCCGUCGUCAGCUCGUGUCGUGAGAUGUUGGGUUAAGUCCCGUAACGAGCGCAACCCCUAUCCCUGGUUGCUAGCAGGUAAUGCUGAGAACUCCAGGGAGACUGCCGGUGACAAACCGGAGGAAGGUGGGGAUGACGUCAGGUCAUCAUGGCCCUUACGGCCAGGGCUACACACGUGCUACAAUGGUGCGCACAGAGGGCUGCAAACCCGCGAGGGGGAGCCAAUCUCACAAAACGCAUCGUAGUCCGGAUCGCAGUCUGCAACUCGACUGCGUGAAGUCGGAAUCGCUAGUAAUCGUGAAUCAGAAUGUCACGGUGAAUACGUUCCCGGGCCUUGUACACACCGCCCGUCACACCAUGGGAGUGGAUUGCACCAGAAGUGGUUAGUCUAACCUUCGGGAGGACGAUCACCACGGUGUGGUUCAUGACUGGGGUGAAGUCGUAACCAAGGUAACCGUA